UACGAAGGGGGCUAGCGUUGUUCGGAAUUACUGGGCGUAAAGCGCACGUAGGCGGGUUGUUAAGUCAGGGGUGAAAUCCUGGAGCUCAACUCCAGAACUGCCUUUGAUACUGGCAACCUAGAGACUGGAAGAGGUUAGUGGAAUUCCCAGUGUAGAGGUGAAAUUCGUAGAUAUUGGGAAGAACACCAGUGGCGAAGGCGGCUAACUGGUCCAGCACUGACGCUUAGGUGCGAAAGCCAGGGGAGCAAACGGG
RNAcentral lists this ribosomal RNA (253 nucleotides) under uncultured bacterium. Its description in RNAcentral is "partial 16S ribosomal RNA". It matches the Rfam family "Bacterial small subunit ribosomal RNA", at positions 524 to 776 of the family's 1533-position model. The record is from RNAcentral.